This 1443-nucleotide long non-coding RNA is filed under the name Equus caballus (horse). RNAcentral describes it as "lncRNA (ENSECAG00000033726.3)". Lineage: Eukaryota; Metazoa; Chordata; Mammalia; Perissodactyla; Equidae. The record is from RNAcentral.
CCACUGGGCCAGCCCCCCACAAAACGUUUUUUAAAAGGGAGGGCUAAAUUAUCAUCAGCACGCAGCUGCAAUAGUCAACACUCACCCUUGUUAAUUGAUACGAUACCCCUGAUGGAUGGGUUCCUGUCAAGCACCUCAAAGUGCUGCCACAGACUGAGCACCCAGCAAAUCCAGUGUUCACCUUCUUGGACACGUGUGCUGUUGUUUCAUUAAGAGAGAAGCUGACACGGAGCCGGGGAAAGUGGGCUGAGCUCACGCACAGGCUGAACUUACUCAAAGAGGACUGAAAAAUCAUGGGCUUUUCCGCCUUCUUGAUGACAGAAGCAGAUUAAAUUUGUGGCCAAUUGUAUUGAUUGGGCAGAAACAGGUAAGCUUAAAACAAAACUAAAUUAAACUACAACUUGAAAAUAAACAAUUUCGUGGCUUUAAGUAGAAAAGACCAGAGAGUCAGUAGCUGAAUUGAGAUCAGAACCGAUCGUUUCUGAAUUUCCAGAAAGCAUCAAAAAAUUCCAGGCACCAUGAAGGUCUCAGUCCCAAACUGGGAGAAUUUGCUGAGGGCCGCCCAUGUGGGGCCCCGUCCCCAGCCCAGAGCGGAGGUUUGCAGGUGGAGCCAUCCCAGAGAAUCCUUAAUGACUGCCUCCCGCUCCUUCCCAUUCCUCCCCAGAAGCAUGACCAGGAGAGAAAUGUCUUCCUCUUUUAGACGGAGCUAACACGGGCAAAGGAAGUGAAUUAGUUCCCAUUAUUACAGAUAACACAUAAAUCUCGUGUGAAAGAAAUAACAUAAUGUGUAAUAACGGACUAAAAAACAUGGCUCAAAACACACCAAGAGGGUAAAACCAGAAACUAUCAAAAGUAGAGAAAAUCAGAGAGCUAGCUAUUCACACAAAAAUGAAGCGGGAAAACCCCGGGGGCCGUGCAUACUGUGCUGAAGUGAGUUUUAGCUACUCAUGCUGUGUUAACUGGUGAUGAAAUGUCAUUGAGCUUAAAAUAAAGUAAGUUUGUAGUCCCAGAUAACACUCGACAAGAUCAAAUAAUGUUGGCCACUAUUCCCAGUUAUAUGAAGAAAUAACUCAUGGCAAUGCACCAAUAUGUCAAGAUUUUUCACAGGAGGCCAUACGAGAACUAGUUGGCUGGCGUCAGGCUUGUUUAAAAGCUCAUUCGCCCCCCUUAGUCGCUGUCCUUUCACCUUUAUGUGUCAUAUAUCCUGGUCUCCUGUCGAUGUGGUUGUCAGAGCACAGUUUAAUCGUGCUGGCCCCUCAACAGAGCCGUGUUAAAUGUAAAGACUGCAGAGUUCCUGCCGAAAGGGAAGUGCAGAGGACUGGAGCCAGCUGAAGUCAUGCGCUGUCAGGUGACAAUAAGACUGUGUCAUUUUAUGACACAUAUCCCUGAGGUUCCUAUGAACUUUGCACAGAGUUUUUUUCUGUUUUGUUAUCCUGACAUCCU